AGCAGUCGCCGCGGGAAUACGUAGGUCCCGAGCGUUGUCCGGAUUUAUUGGGCGUAAAGCGAGCGCAGGCGGUUAGAUAAGUCUGAAGUUAAAGGCUGUGGCUUAACCAUAGUACGCUUUGGAAACUGUUUAACUUGAGUGCAAGAGGGGAGAGUGGAAUUCCAUGUGUAGCGGUGAAAUGCGUAGAUAUAUGGAGGAACACCGGUGGCGAAAGCGGCUCUCUGGCUUGUAACUGACGCUGAGGCUCGAAAGCGUGGGGAGCAAACAGGAUUAGAUACCCCAGUAGUCCCUGUCUCUUAUACC
Molecule: ribosomal RNA, 303 nt
Filed under: uncultured bacterium
Lineage: Bacteria
Description: partial 16S ribosomal RNA
Rfam family: Bacterial small subunit ribosomal RNA
Source: RNAcentral